AUAAAGGUGCCUCGUAUUAAAGACGGGGUUAAAAGGGAAGCCGAUUCAAUGUCGGCGCGGUCCCGCCACUGUAAGUGUGAGCUAGUCGCAAUUUGUCACUGGAAAAGUUCCGGGAAGACGCGAUCAGCAAUGAACACAAGCCAGGAGACCUGCCUUUAUG
This 160-nucleotide non-coding RNA is filed under the name uncultured Sporosarcina sp. The record is from RNAcentral. Lineage: Bacteria; Bacillati; Bacillota; Bacilli; Caryophanales; Caryophanaceae.